GUCUGUUAAAAGAAAAGUUAUGAAAUCGUAUCUUUCAGGCAAUUAUUUUGAAGAAUUUAUCACUGCAUCAAUCUUUUGGCCCAACCCCAUUCUGGAGUCUGUCGUCUUGGUACAUACCUGUAAGUAGAAGAAGAUAAAUUGCGUUGAGUGGAGAGCAUCGAUCAAAAUAUUUUCAAAAAUUAUGAUGUUUUUCACUAAUCAAUUGUUUGAUGUUUAUAAACACAGAUGUACACAUGUUGGCUAAAGAGUUGGGGUAAAUAUUUAAGCAUUACUGGCAAAAUUUAUGUGAUAUGUUGUGGGGGGCAAAUAACAAACAAGGCCCAAAUACAAUAGAAGCAGUCGGAACUCGUUAG
Molecule: long non-coding RNA, 353 nt
Organism: Drosophila innubila
Lineage: Eukaryota; Metazoa; Arthropoda; Insecta; Diptera; Drosophilidae
Exons: 2
Source: RefSeq, a predicted model, not a curated record